AGCAGUAGCCACGGGAAUACGUAGGGUGCAAGCGUUAAUCGGAAUUACUGGGCGUAAAGCGUGCGCAGGCGGUUUGUUAAGACAGAUGUGAAAUCCCCGGGCUUAACCUGGGAACUGCAUUUGUGACUGGCAAGCUAGAGUAUGGCAGAGGGGGGUGGAAUUCCGCGUGUAGCAGUGAAAUGCGUAGAUAUGCGGAGGAACACCGAUGGCGAAGGCAGCCCCCUGGGCCAAUACUGACGCUCAUGCACGAAAGCGUGGGGAGCAAACAGGAUUAGAUACCCCCGGUAGUCCCUGUCUCUUAUA
Molecule: ribosomal RNA, 303 nt
Filed under: uncultured bacterium
Lineage: Bacteria
Description: partial 16S ribosomal RNA
Rfam family: Bacterial small subunit ribosomal RNA
Source: RNAcentral